Molecule: ribosomal RNA, 495 nt
Filed under: uncultured Sphingomonas sp.
Lineage: Bacteria; Pseudomonadati; Pseudomonadota; Alphaproteobacteria; Sphingomonadales; Sphingomonadaceae
Description: bacterial SSU rRNA
Rfam family: Bacterial small subunit ribosomal RNA
Source: RNAcentral
CGCUGCGGCAUGCCUAACACAUGCAAGUCGAACGAGACCUUCGGGUCUAGUGGCGCACGGGUGCGUAACGCGUGGGAACCUGCCUUUAGGUUCGGAAUAACUCAGAGAAAUUUGAGCUAAUACCGGAUAAUGUCUUCGGACCAAAGAUUUAUCGCCUUUAGAUGGGCCCGCGUUGGAUUAGCUAGUUGGUGGGGUAAAGGCCUACCAAGGCGACGAUCCAUAGCUGGUCUGAGAGGAUGAUCAGCCACACUGGGACUGAGACACGGCCCAGACUCCUACGGGAGGCAGCAGUGGGGAAUAUUGGACAAUGGGCGAAAGCCUGAUCCAGCAAUGCCGCGUGAGUGAUGAAGGCCUUAGGGUUGUAAAGCUCUUUUACCCGAGAUGAUAAUGACAGUAUCGGGAGAAUAAGCUCCGGCUAACUCCGUGCCAGCAGCCGCGGUAAUACGGAGGGAGCUAGCGUUGUUCGGAAUUACUGGGCGUAAAGCGCACGUAGGC